GAUGAACGCUGGCGGCGUGCCUAAUACAUGCAAGUCGAGCGAACGGACGAGAAGCUUGCUUCUCUGAUGUUAGCGGCGGACGGGUGAGUAACACGUGGAUAACCUACCUAUAAGACUGGGAUCAUCUCGGGAAACCGUCGCUAAUCCCGGAUGAUAUUUUGAACCGCGUUGUUCAAAAGUGAGAGACGGCCUUUGUGUCACUUCUAGCUGCAUCCCCGCUGAAUGAGCUAGUUGCUAAGGUAAAGGCUUACCAAGGCAACUAUGCAUAGCCGACCUGAGGGACGGAUAGGCCACCUGGGAAGUGAGCCGCGGACCAGACUCCUAAGGGACGGAGCAGUAGGCAACCUUCCGCAGUGGGCGAGAGCCUGACGGAGCAAGGCCGCGUGUGUGGUGAAGGUCUUCGGAGCGGAAAACUCUGUUAUGAGGGGAGAACAUAUGUGUAAGUAGCUGUGCACAGCUUGACGGUACCUAAUCAGAAAGCCACGGCUAACUACGUG
This 497-nucleotide ribosomal RNA is filed under the name uncultured bacterium. RNAcentral describes it as "partial 16S ribosomal RNA". It matches the Rfam family "Bacterial small subunit ribosomal RNA", at positions 28 to 507 of the family's 1533-position model. The record is from RNAcentral.